CCAUGUGACACGGGGUGCCCGCGAGGGCUGAGAACACACCCGUCGAACCUGAUCUAGUUCGAACUAGCGAAGGGAUGUCGCCUCUUAUGCGC
Molecule: non-coding RNA, 92 nt
Filed under: Agreia sp. COWG
Lineage: Bacteria; Bacillati; Actinomycetota; Actinomycetes; Micrococcales; Microbacteriaceae
Description: TPP
Rfam family: TPP riboswitch aptamer (THI element)
About the family: Vitamin B(1) in its active form thiamin pyrophosphate (TPP) is an essential coenzyme that is synthesised by coupling of pyrimidine and thiazole moieties in bacteria.
Source: RNAcentral